CGAAGUGGCAAAUACCAUGCUUCCAGGAAAAGCUUCUAAGCAAUAGUUAUAAACGAAUCGUACCCUAAACCGACACAGGUGAUCAGGUAGAGAAUACCAAGGCGCUUGAGAGAACUCUGCUGAAGGAACUAGGCAAAAUGGUACCGUAACUUCGGGAGAAGGUACGCUGUUGGUGGUGAUAGGACUUGCUCCUUGAGCUGCUGGCAGUCGCAGAUACCAGGCUGCUGCAACUGUUUAUUAAAAACACAGCACUCUGCAAACACGAAAGUGGACGUAUAGGGUGUGAUGUCUGCCCGGUGCUGGAAGGUUAAUUGAUGGGCUUAGCGUAAGCGAAGGUCUUGAUCGAAGCCCCAGUAAACGGCGGCCGUAACUAUAACGGUCCUAAGGUAGCGAAAUUCCUUGUCGGGUAAGUUCCGACCUGCACGAAUGACAUAAUGAUGGCAGCGCUGUCUCCAGCAGAGACUCAGUGAAAUCGAAAUCGCAGUGAAGAUGCUGUGUACCCGCGGCUAGACGGAAAGACCCCGUGAACCUUUACUACAGCUUUACAUUGAACUUUGACCUGACUUGUGCAGGAUAGGUGGGAGGCUUUGAAACCGAGACGCCAGUCUUGGUGGAGCCAUCCUUGAAAUACCACCCUGGUCAUGUUGGGGUUCUAACUCAGGUAUCACAAUACCGAGGACAAUGUAUGGUGGGUAGUUUGACUGGGGCGGUCUCCUCCUAAAGAGUAACGGAGGAGUACGAAGGUGCGCUCAGACCGGUCGGAAAUCGGUCGAAGAGUAUAAAGGCAAAAGCGCGCUUAACUGCGAGACCCACAAGUCGAGCAGGUACGAAAGUAGGUCUUAGUGAUCCGGUGGUUCUGUAUGGAAGGGCCAUCGCUCAACGGAUAAAAGGUACUCUGGGGAUAACAGGCUGAUACCGCCCAAGAGUUCAUAUCGACGGCGGUGUUUGGCACCUCGAUGUCGGCUCAUCUCAUCCUAGGGCUGAAGCAGGUCCUAAGGGUAUGGCUGUUCGCCAUUUAAAGAGGUACGCGAGCUGGGUUUAGAACGUCGUGAGACAGUUCGGUCCCUAUCUACCGUGGGCGUUGGAAAUUUGAGAGGAUCUGCUCCUAGUACGAGAGGACCAGAGUGGACGAACCACUGGUGUUCGGGUUGUCAUGCCAAUGGCAUUGCCCGGUAGCUACGUUCGGAUGGGAUAACCGCUGAAAGCAUCUAAGCGGGAAGCCCACCUCAAGAUUAGAUUUCCCUAAAGAGCCGUUCAAGACUAGGACGUUGAUAGGCAGGGUGUGGAAGCACAG
Molecule: ribosomal RNA, 1294 nt
Filed under: Psychrobacter pacificensis
Lineage: Bacteria; Pseudomonadati; Pseudomonadota; Gammaproteobacteria; Moraxellales; Moraxellaceae
Description: partial 23S ribosomal RNA
Rfam family: Bacterial large subunit ribosomal RNA
Source: RNAcentral